CGCUGGCGGCAGGCCUAACACAUGCAAGUCGAACGGACCCUUCGGGGUUAGUGGCGGACGGGUGAGUAACACGUGGGAACGUGCCUUUAGGUUCGGAAUAGCUCCUGGAAACGGGUGGUAAUGCCGAAUGUGCCCUUCGGGGGAAAGAUUUAUCGCCUUUAGAGCGGCCCGCGUCUGAUUAGCUAGUUGGUGGGGUAAUGGCCCACCAAGGCUACGAUCAGUAGCUGGUCUGAGAGGAUGACCAGCCACAUUGGGACUGAGACACGGCCCAAACUCCUACGGGAGGCAGCAGUGGGGAAUCUUGCGCAAUGGGCGAAAGCCUGACGCAGCCAUGCCGCGUGUAUGAUGAAGGUCUUAGGAUUGUAAAAUACUUUCACCGGUGAAGAUAAUGACUGUAGCCGGAGAAGAAGCCCCGGCUAACUUCGUG
Molecule: ribosomal RNA, 427 nt
Filed under: uncultured bacterium
Lineage: Bacteria
Description: bacterial SSU rRNA
Rfam family: Bacterial small subunit ribosomal RNA
Source: RNAcentral